CUCCUCCUCCAUCUCCUCCUCCAUCUCCUCCUCCUCCAUCUCCUCCUCUAUCUCCUCCUCCAUCUGCUCCUCUUCCAUCGCCUCUUGUGAAAGACUUUAUUCUUGGAGCUGCUUUGGUUUACAGAAGUCCUGGGUGGGAGUGAGGAGCUCCCAUGAAGCAGGAAAUAGUGAGGACCCUGGCACAGAUGACUCUUUAAUACAAAGAUAGGAGGAAAAGGCGCCUUUUAAUGAUGCUGGCUGCUCAGCAAGUGACUCCAGUGGGACUCGGGAGCCCCGGAUAGAAGUUUGCUCUUCCUUCUCACCCACUUUUACAUCUAUGAGGCCGAAUUCCACUGGAGUUCCCGCGAAUACAGCUAGCAGGAUUUGCCCAGAGCCGAGUGGCAGGGUGGGCAGAGGGCAGAGCAAAGAGCUGUGUGGUGACAGAUGUCAGAGUCAUCAUGGUAACUCAGCGCGUUGCACAAAGAGCACAGUCCCCCGCUGGCCCACAGCUGCCCAGGUCCAGGAGGGCCGUCUGCCCUCCCCUGCAGCCCCUCUCCUGCCCUCACCUCCCUGUAAUCUGCCUGUCAGGUCGGUCUGGACUGAGCCCCAUCCGGGCCCAGCCCCGAGGCCCCUGAUGGAGGUGCCCCACCCUGUCACCCUCCGGCCCGCAGCCCCCGUGGCCCUGGGUUCUCCCCCAGACAGCUGCCCUUUCCAGACGUCCCCGCAUGGGCUCCAGCCCGGUCGCAGCCACCCUGGGACCGAAGAGAGGAUGAGCACUUUGGCCCUGGGAUCCCGACCCGGCCCUGCGGAGAAACAUAGGCACACACUGGAGGACUCAAGUUUUGCUGUUUACCAUGACCAUGAGCAGUAAGGGAGCCGAGCCUGGUGGCGCACGCCUGUCAUCCCACCACUGUCAGGAGGCUGAGGCAGGAGGAUCGCCCCGAGUUUGAGGCCAGCCUGGGCGACACAGCGCUGCUCCUGGCCACUCUCGCAGGUCCACGCGCGUGCUGGCCGCUGACCAACUCCAACAGGGCCGUCCUUUGGGUGGAAGGCGCCUGGCUUAGCAGGAAGGAGUGUGGGGGAGUCGUUUGUGCGUCUCCAAUAGAGAAGCAAGCACCUGCUGGCAGAGUCUCACUGUGCAGCUCAGGCUGGCCUUGAAUUCACCGGGAUCCUCCUGCUUCAGCCUCCCGAGUGCUGGGAUGACAGACUUGCACUACCACGCCUGGCCUCAAACAAGUGAAAUUUACAGAAAUUAUACAAGCCAGCUCUGUUUUCCUCAAAUA
Non-coding RNA from Heterocephalus glaber (naked mole-rat), 1262 nucleotides. The record is from RefSeq and is a predicted model, not a curated record. NCBI's taxonomy places the organism in Eukaryota, Metazoa, Chordata, Mammalia, Rodentia, Bathyergidae.